Molecule: unclassified non-coding RNA, 306 nt
Filed under: plant metagenome
Description: partial contains internal transcribed spacer 2 and large subunit ribosomal RNA
Rfam family: 5.8S ribosomal RNA (bases 1-105)
Source: RNAcentral
AAAAUGCAAUAAAUAGUAUCAAUUAUAAAAUUUAGUAAAUUAUUAAAUCUUUAAACGUAUAUUACGCCCCUUAGUAUUCUAUGGGGUAUACCUAUUUAAGCGUCAUCUACACCCUUAAGCUCUACUUAGUGUUGGGCGUCUAUCCCGCCUUUGCGCGUGGACUUACCCUAAAUAUAUUAGCAAUAGUCCUUACCUCCUCCCGCGUAGUAUAUUACGCUUUUUAAGGCUACAGCGGCCCGCGUCUAAUAAGCUAAACCCCCCCGUCUUUAACCUCGGAUUAGGUAGGGAUACCUGCUGAACUUAAGC